CCUCCUAAAGAGUAACGGAGGAGCACGAAGGUUGGCUAAUCCUGGUCGGACAUCAGGAGGUUAGUGCAAUGGCAUAAGCCAGCUUGACUGCGAGCGUGACGGCGCGAGCAGGUGCGAAAGCAGGUCAUAGUGAUCCGGUGGUUCUGAAUGGAAGGGCCAUCGCUCAACGGAUAAAAGGUACUCCGGGGAUAACAGGCUGAUACCGCCCAAGAGUUCAUAUCGACGGCGGUGUUUGGCACCUCGAUGUCGGCUCAUCACAUCCUGGGGCUGAAGUAGGUCCCAAGGGUAUGGCUGUUCGCCAUUUAAAGUGGUACGCGAGCUGGGUUUAGAACGUCGUGAGACAGUUCGGUCCCUAUCUGCCGUGGGCGCUGGAGAACUGAGGGGGGCUGCUCCUAGUACGAGAGGACCGGAGUGGACGCAUCACUGGUGUUCGGGUUGUCAUGCCAAUGGCACUGCCCGGUAGCUAAAUGCGGAAGAGAUAAGUGCUGAAAGCAUCUAAGCACGAAACUUGCC
RNAcentral lists this ribosomal RNA (513 nucleotides) under Escherichia coli. Its description in RNAcentral is "partial 23S ribosomal RNA". It matches the Rfam family "Bacterial large subunit ribosomal RNA", at positions 2286 to 2798 of the family's 2925-position model. Lineage: Bacteria; Pseudomonadati; Pseudomonadota; Gammaproteobacteria; Enterobacterales; Enterobacteriaceae. The record is from RNAcentral.